This 3068-nucleotide ribosomal RNA is filed under the name Gardnerella vaginalis. Its description in RNAcentral is "bacterial LSU rRNA". It matches the Rfam family "Bacterial large subunit ribosomal RNA". The record is from RNAcentral. Lineage: Bacteria; Bacillati; Actinomycetota; Actinomycetes; Bifidobacteriales; Bifidobacteriaceae. RNAcentral also lists the same sequence under 1 other name.
GUGUUUGUCACUGGUAAGGGCGUAUGGUGGAUGCCUUGGUAGACAGGACCGAUGAAGGACGUGACGGGCUGCGAUAUGCCUCGGGGAGCUGCCGAGUGGGCUUUGAUCCGAGGAUUUCCGAAUGGGGAGACCCGGCCACUGUUAUGAGUGGUCACCACAGUUUUUGUGGGGGGUACGCAGGGAAGUGAAACAUCUCAGUACCUGCAGGAAAGGAUACUCCGUGAGUAGUGGCGAGCGAAAGCGGAUCAGGCUAAACCGGGUGCGUGUGAUAGCCGUCAGGUGUUGCGCAUUCGGGGUCGUGGGAUGGACUGUUCAGCCUCUGACGGGGUUGAGGAGAGUGAUAAAAUGUCGUGCUAGGUGAAUGGGAUUGAAUUUCCAGCCGUAGAGGGUGAUGGCCCCGUAGCUUGUCGUGCGAUGUCUCUUUAUGUUUAUUCCCAAGUAGCGCGGGACUCGUGGAAUCCCGCGUGAAUCUGCCCAGACCGUUGGGUAAGCCUAAGUAUUCCUGUCUGACCGAUAGUGUACUAGUACCGUGAGGGAAAGGUGAAAAGCACCCCGGGAGGGGAGUGAAAUAGUUCCUGAAACCGUGCGCUUACAAUCCGUCGGAGCCUUCUUUGUGGGGUGACGGCGUGCCUAUCGAAAAAUGAGUCUGCGAGUCAGUGGUAUGUGGCGAGGCUAACCCGGGUGGGGGAGCCGUAGCGAAAGCGAGUUUUAAAAGGCGUUUGAGUCGCAUGUCCUGGACCCGAAGCGGGAUGAUCUAGCCCUGAGCAGGUUGAAGCGCGGGUAAGACCGUGUGGAGGACCGAACCCACCUAGGUUGAAAACUGGGGGGAUGACUUGGGGUUAGGGGUGAAAGGCCAAUCAAAUUCCGUGAUAGCUGGUUCUCUCCGAAAUGCAUUUAGGUGCAGCGUCGUGUUAUUGCUUACAGGGGGUAGAGCUACUGGAUGCUUGCGGGCCCAUACCGGGUACCAAUAGCAGCCAAACUCCGAAUACCUGUUAGGUUUAUCACGGCAGUGAGUCGGCGGGGGAUAAGCUCCGUCGUCAAAAGGGAAACAGCCCUGAUCGUCGUCUAAGGUCCCGAAGCGCGUGCUAAGUGGGAAAGGAUGUGGAGUCGCAUAGACAGCCAGGAGGUUGGCUCAGAAGCAGCCAUCCUUGAAAGAGUGCGUAACAGCUCACUGGUCUAGUGGUUCCGCGCCGACAAUGUAGCGGGGCUUAAGCACGCCACCGAAGACGCGGCUGCAUGANNNNNNNNNNNNNUUCAUGCGGGGUAGGAGAGCGUCCUGUAUGGGGUGAAGCGGCAGUGUGAACUUGUCGUGGACUUUACAGGAGUGAGAAUGCAGACAUGAGUAGCGAGAGACGGGUGUGAAUCCCGUCCGCUGAAUGACUAAGGGUUCCGGGGCCACGUUCGUCGUCCCCGGGUGAGUCGAGUCCUAAGGCGAGGCCGACAGGCGUAGUCGAAUGGAUGAACGGGUUGAUAUUCCCGUACCGGUGUUACACCGUUCGAACUGAAUCUGAGAGUACUAACCUUCAUUUUCUUGUUGAUUGCCUUUCGGGGUUGUUGAUGGGUUUGUGUUGGGACUGUAUCGGUAGUAGGUUAGCGUGGGAGUGACGCGGGUAGGUAGCCGGCUGCGGAGGUGGUUUUCCGUGGCUAAGCGUGUGGGCUGUCUCCUAGGUAAAUCCGGGGGAUGUUAAGCUGAGGCGUGAUGGGUAGGCUGUAAGGCUGAUUCCGGUGAUCCUGCUUGCCAAGAAAAGCUUCAACGUGAGGUGUGAUUCCGCUCGUACCCUAAACCGACACUGGUGGUCUGGUAGAGUAUACCGAAGCGAUCGGGCGAAUCCUGGCCAAGGAACUCGGCAAAUUACUCCCGUGCCUUCGGCAUAAGGGAGACCCCUGAUGGUGAUAUGGUUUUACAUUGUUGAGCUGUUGGGGGUGGCACAAGCUAGGGGGUAGCGACUGUUUACCAAAAACACAGGAGCGUGCGAAGGCGUAAGCCGCUGUAUACGCUCUGACGCCUGCCCGGUGCCGGAAGGUUAAGAGGAUCCGUUAGCUUCGGUGAAGCGGUGAAUUUAAGCCCCGGUAAACGGCGGUGGUAACUAUAACCAUCCUAAGGUAGCGAAAUUCCUUGUCGGGUAAGUUCCGACCUGCACGAAUGGCGUAACGACUUCCCCACUGUCUCGGCCAGGAGCCCGGCGAAAUUGCAGUACGAGUAAAGAUGCUCGUUAAGCGCAGAAGGACGAAAAGACCCCGGGACCUUUACUAUACCUUGGUAUUGUCGUUAGGUGUGGAUCGUGUAGCAUAGGCGGGAGGCUGUGAAGCGUGGGCGCUAGCUUGCGUGGAGUCGACAGGUGAAAUACCGCUCUUUCCAUAUCUGGCGUCUAACCUCGACGCGUUAUCCGUGUCAGGGACAGUGCCUGGCGGGUAGUUUAACUGGGGCGGUUGCCUCCUAAAGAGUAACGGAGGCGCUCAAUGGUCCGCUCAGCCCGGUUGGCAAUCGGGUGUUGAGUGUAAUCGCACAAGCGGGCUUGACUGUGAGACUGACGGGUCGAGCAGGGACGAAAGUCGGAGAUAGUGAUCCGGUGCCGGCGUACGGACGUGGCAUCGCUCAACGGAUAAAAGGUACCCCGGGGAUAACAGGCUGAUCAUUCCCAAGAGUCCAUAUCGACGGGAUGGUUUGGCACCUCGAUGUCGGCUCGUCGCAUCCUGGGGCUGGAGCAGGUCCCAAGGGUUCGGCUGUUCGCCGAUUAAAGCGGCACGCGAGCUGGGUUCAGAACGUCGUGAGACAGUUUGGUCUCUAUCCUCUGCGCUCGUUGGAAUGUUGAGGAGACCUGCCCAUAGUACGAGAGGACCUGGGUGGACGAACCUCUGGUAUGCCGGUCGUCACGCCAGUGGCGCUGCCGGUUAGCUACGUUCGGAAGGGAUAACCGCUGAAAGCAUCUAAGCGGGAAGCCUGCUCCAAGAUAAGCAUUCCUUGCACUUUAGUGUGUGAGCCCCCAUGUAGAACACGUGGUUGAUAGGCUAGAUGUGGAAGCCCUGUAAGGGGUGGAGCUGACUAGUACUAACGGGCGAUGGUGACA